This 520-nucleotide small RNA is filed under the name uncultured Paraglomus. Its description in RNAcentral is "bacterial SSU rRNA". It matches the Rfam family "Eukaryotic small subunit ribosomal RNA", at positions 569 to 1090 of the family's 1831-position model. The record is from RNAcentral. Lineage: Eukaryota; Fungi; Glomeromycota; Glomeromycetes; Paraglomerales; Paraglomeraceae.
AGCAGCCGCGGUAAUUCCAGCUCCAAUAGCGUAUAUUAAAGUUGUUGCAGUUAAAAAGCUCGUAGUUGAACCUUAGGCCCGUGCGGGUGGUCCGUCCUCUGGGCGAGCACUGCCUCGUCGCGGGUCUCACCUUCUGGCGAGCGUGGAUGCCAUUCACUUGGUGUCUGCGGGAACCAGGACCUUUACCUUGAAAAAAUUAGAGUGCUCAAAGCGGGCUCGUACGCUUGAAUACAUUAGCAUGGAAUAAUGAAAUAGGACGACGGUUCUAUUUUGUUGGUUUCCGGGACAGUCGUAAUGAUUAAUAGGGAUAGUUGGGGGCAUUCGUAUUCAAUUGUCAGAGGUGAAAUUCUUGGAUUUAUUGAAGACGGACUACUGCGAAAGCAUUUGCCAAGGAUGUUUUCAUUAAUCAAGAACGAAAGUUGGGGGAUCGAAGACGAUCAGAUACCGUCGUAGUCUCAACCAUAAACUAUGCCGACUGGGAAUCGGGCGAUGUAUUUUUCGUGACUCGCUCGGCGCCCCG